Molecule: long non-coding RNA, 1896 nt
Filed under: Homo sapiens (human)
Lineage: Eukaryota; Metazoa; Chordata; Mammalia; Primates; Hominidae
Description: HSALNT0351450
Source: RNAcentral
CUCCAGCCAGCUCAACUGCAGGAGAGGAAAGCCCCAUCUAAGUUCACUAGCCCUGCCACAGUCUUCCACUGCCUGAUGGGUUCCUUCAGGAAAACACUUCCAGAGGCAUUCAUCCACUUGAGGUCUGGGGUUGGCUGCUGCUGCGAGGCUGCUGCAGCCGAGGCUCCCGCGAGCAGCUGCUAGGAUCCUUGCCGUCUCGUUCCUGCCUCUUUCGAGCUGCACAAUAGCCCCGGCUGGGUGCACCUCAUUAAGCCAGCCGAGAGCCCCAGGAGCAGGGCAAGCCGUGUGACAGCGCUACCUCUUUGUAAUGACUGUAUGAUGGAUGCAACCGAAGGGUGGGGUCUGGGUGGGUCAACACUGUUAAUGACAGUAUGUAUCAUUCUGUCCGUCCUCCAGGAGAGGGGAGGGAAGCCCCCUGCCCUCCCCUCAGGUCUUGGGCUCGCUUUCUCUCUCUCUCUCUCUCUCUCGCUCUCUCUCUCUCUCUCUCUCUCUCUCUCUCCCUCUCUUCCUCUCCCUCUCUCUCCUAUCUCUCGUCUCUGUCCCCUGUCACUCGCGCGCACACACACACACACGCACACACACUUUCCUCCCUCUUCCCCCACCUCCCUAUGCCAUUUUCUGCAGUCAGCGUUCAAAAAAAGUACGAAAACCAUCGGGUAAUUUCCAACUGAACCGAUUACGGACGGCGAAUUUAUCCAAACACUUAAGCAAGGAGAGGAUCCUAAAAUCGAAAAACGAAGGCGGAAGGGGCGAGAAGAACGGGGUGGAGUUGGGUGGCGGAGCGAGUGGGACGUUAACUGGCCAAUAGUUUGCAACUGCCGGUCAACACGCGCAGCCUACUCAGCGCUGCUCCGGAGGCGCGGGACGCCGCCUCCACGUGAGCCGCGCUCCUCCCAGUGCCCGGGACGGUGUCGGGGGCGGGCUGCACGGCGAGAAGGGCAAAAUAAAACCAGCCCGAGAGGCCCUGGCUGGGGUUGAGACUGCAGGAGUAACUUCUGCACCGAGGCAGCGCGCAGCCAGUCGGGGAAGAACUCUGCAACCUGACCGAAAGAAAGUCCGACCCUCUCGGGAGGGCUGCCAGGAUGCUGGAGCGAGUGUCAGGGUCCGAGACUCCCAAGUCGGGCGAGGGCUCCUGCCCCUGGCCAUUGGGUACCCCCCUCCGACCAACACCCCCGUCCCGCUUCAGAGCGUCGGCCCCACAGACCUAGAUGGGCAAGAUACCAAAUACUUUUCUUGGAAUACAUCAUCUUGAUUGAAAACUACUAGGAUAUUUUUGAAAAAAUAGCUCAUUAGCUGGCUGGAAAUGUGCUCUCCUGAAGAAAAAUCAGAAAUACAUUGAUAGGGGUCAAAGAUUUCUACCCUGUUGGAAGAAGCCACUGUUGAAGUGUGAAAGGCUACUCUGCUUUCUGCGUCCAUUUAACCUUUGGCCUGCCCUAAAGAGCCAGCCAAGUGUCAAUCAGGGCUGAUUGGGCACCUGUGCCUGGAAACAAGACAGAGAAAUUUAGCUCUUCCAGGUCAUCAAACCAUCUCCAGAUGGCAAAGAACUUCUGAAGUUAUGAACCUAACUUGCUUGUGAUGCAAAUUAGUGACCUAGGGUGAGAUGCUUCAUUAAUGCUUACUCCUGUGAGCCUCCAAGGUGUCAGAAGUUGGACUGCUUACUCUCACAUUUUUUUUUUGCUGUGUAAUGUGCAUUAAAAUAAUUUAUAUUCAUAGAGAUGGUCCAAUAAAUUGCAUAUGGCUAGUUAAUAAGCUGCUAAAGCAGAGAAGAAAAUUAGAUUUCAUUUAGAAGAAAACAAUAUUUGGCUUUCCCCAUGGAAAUAUGUGAAAAAGCUUUAGAAAAUUCUGUUAACAUUGAGGUCUCAGAAGAGACUGUGAUUAAAAAUAAUAAAAAGAAAA